RNAcentral lists this ribosomal RNA (365 nucleotides) under uncultured bacterium. Its description in RNAcentral is "bacterial SSU rRNA". It matches the Rfam family "Bacterial small subunit ribosomal RNA", at positions 28 to 395 of the family's 1533-position model. The record is from RNAcentral.
GAUGAACGCUAGCGGCAGGCCUAACACAUGCAAGUCGAGGGGUAGAGUUCCUCGGGACUUGAGACCGGCGCACGGGUGCGUAACGCGUAUGCAAUCUACCUUAUACAGGGGAAUAGCCCCAGAGAAAUUUGGAUUAAUGCCCCAUAGUGUUAUCGAAUCGCAUGGUUUGAUAACUAAAGUUCCAACGGUAUAAGAUGAGCAUGCGUCCCAUUAGUUAGUUGGUAAGGUAACGGCUUACCAAGACAAUGAUGGGUAGGGGUCCUGAGAGGGAGAUCCCCCACACUGGUACUGAGACACGGACCAGACUCCUACGGGAGGCAGCAGUGAGGAAUAUUGGUCAAUGGGCGCAAGCCUGAACCAGCCAC